This 624-nucleotide ribosomal RNA is filed under the name uncultured bacterium. Its description in RNAcentral is "bacterial SSU rRNA". It matches the Rfam family "Bacterial small subunit ribosomal RNA", at positions 132 to 772 of the family's 1533-position model. The record is from RNAcentral.
CAAAGAGGGGGACAACAGUUGGAAACGACUGCUAAUACCGCAUAAGCCCACGACCCGGCAUCGGGUAGAGGGAAAAGGAGCAAUCCGCUUUGAGAUGGCCUCGCGUCCGAUUAGCUAGUUGGUGAGGUAACGGCCCACCAAGGCGACGAUCGGUAGCCGGACUGAGAGGUUGAACGGCCACAUUGGGACUGAGACACGGCCCAGACUCCUACGGGAGGCAGCAGUGGGGAAUAUUGCACAAUGGGGGAAACCCUGAUGCAGCGACGCCGCGUGGAGGAAGAAGGUCUUCGGAUUGUAAACUCCUGUUGUUGAGGAAGAUAAUGACGGUACUCAACAAGGAAGUGACGGCUAACUACGUGCCAGCAGCCGCGGUAAAACGUAGGUCACAAGCGUUGUCCGGAAUUACUGGGUGUAAAGGGAGCGCAGGCGGGAAGACAAGUUGGAAGUGAAAUCCAUGGGCUCAACCCAUGAACUGCUUUCAAAACUGUUUUUCUUGAGUAGUGCAGAGGUAGGCGGAAUUCCCGGUGUAGCGGUGGAAUGCGUAGAUAUCGGGAGGAACACCAGUGGCGAAGGCGGCCUACUGGGCACCAACUGACGCUGAGGCUCGAAAGUGUGGGUAGCAAA